CUACGGGAUGCAGCAGUAAGGAAUAUUGCGCAAUGGAGGCAACUCUGACGCAGCCAUGCCGCGUGCAGGAAGAAGGCCUUAUGGGUCGUAAACUGCUUUUAUUUAGGAAUAAACCCCCGAACGUGUUCGGGGCUGAAGGUACUAAACGAAUAAGCACCGGCUAACUCCGUGCCAGCAGCCGCGGUAAUACGGAGGGUGCAAGCGUUAUCCGGAUUUAUUGGGUUUAAAGGGUGCGCAGGCGGGCUAUUAAGUCAGUGGGGAAAUCCCGGGGCUCAACUCCGGAACUGCCAUUGAUACUGAUAGUCUUGAGUUUGGUUGAAGUGGGCGGAAUGUAGCAUGUAGCGGUGAAAUGCAUAGAUAUGCUACAGAACACCAAUCGCGAAGGCAGCUCACUAAGCCAAAACUGACGCUCAUGCACGAAAGCGUGGGGAUCAAACAGGAUUAGAUACCCAGUAGUC
RNAcentral lists this ribosomal RNA (458 nucleotides) under uncultured bacterium. Its description in RNAcentral is "partial 16S ribosomal RNA". It matches the Rfam family "Bacterial small subunit ribosomal RNA", at positions 339 to 795 of the family's 1533-position model. The record is from RNAcentral.